Molecule: ribosomal RNA, 253 nt
Filed under: uncultured bacterium
Lineage: Bacteria
Description: partial 16S ribosomal RNA
Rfam family: Bacterial small subunit ribosomal RNA
Source: RNAcentral
UACGGAGGAUCCAAGCGUUAUCCGGAAUCAUUGGGUUUAAAGGGUCCGUAGGCGGUUUUGUAAGUCAGUGGUGAAAGCCCAUCGCUCAACGGUGGGACGGCCAUUGAUACUGCAAGACUUGAAUUACUAGGAAGUAACUAGAAUAUGUAGUGUAGCGGUGAAAUGCUUAGAGAUUACUUGGAAUACCAAUUGCGAAGGCAGUUCACUAUGCUUGUAUUGACACUGAGGCACGAAAGCGUGGGAAUCAAACAGG